This 500-nucleotide ribosomal RNA is filed under the name uncultured bacterium. RNAcentral describes it as "partial 16S ribosomal RNA". It matches the Rfam family "Bacterial small subunit ribosomal RNA", at positions 29 to 523 of the family's 1533-position model. The record is from RNAcentral.
AUUGAACGCUGGCGGCAUGCCUUACACAUGCAAGUCGAACGGCAGCACGGGAGCAAUCCUGGUGGCGAGUGGCGAACGGGUGAGUAAAGUAUCGGAACGUGCCCAGUCGUGGGGGAUAACGUAGCGAAAGUUACGCUAAUACCGCAUACGAUCUAUGGAUGAAAGCGGGGGAUCGCAAGACCUCGCGCGAUUGGAGCGGCCGAUGUCAGAUUAGGUAGUUGGUGGGGUAAAGGCUCACCAAGCCAACGAUCUGUAGCUGGUCUGAGAGGACGACCAGCCACACUGGGACUGAGAAACGGCCCAGACGCCUAGGGGAGGCGGGAGUGGGGAAUUUUGGACAAUGGGCGAAAGCCUGAUCCAGCAAUGCCGCGUGCAGGAAGAAGGCCUUCGGGUUGUAAACUGCUUUUGUACGGAGCGAAAAGGCUCUCUCUAAUACAGGGGGCUCAUGACGGUACCGUAAGAAUAAGCACCGGCUAACUACGUGCCAGCCGCCGCAGUAA